GGCGCGGUGGCAGAGUGGUGAUGCAGAGGCCUGCAAAGCCUUGUACGCCGGUUCGAUUCCGGCCCGUGCCUCCA
Molecule: transfer RNA, 74 nt
Filed under: Alphaproteobacteria bacterium
Lineage: Bacteria; Pseudomonadati; Pseudomonadota; Alphaproteobacteria
Also listed under: 1 other name
Description: tRNA-Cys
Rfam family: tRNA
About the family: Transfer RNA (tRNA) molecules are approximately 80 nucleotides in length. Their secondary structure includes four short double-helical elements and three loops (D, anti-codon, and T loops). Further hydrogen bonds mediate the characteristic L-shaped molecular structure. tRNAs have two regions of fundamental functional importance: the anti-codon, which is responsible for specific mRNA codon recognition, and the 3' end, to which the tRNAs corresponding amino acid is attached (by aminoacyl-tRNA synthetases). tRNAs cope with the degeneracy of the genetic code in two manners: having more than one tRNA (with a specific anti-codon) for a particular amino acid; and 'wobble' base-pairing, i.e. permitting non-standard base-pairing at the 3rd anti-codon position.
Source: RNAcentral